Molecule: ribosomal RNA, 496 nt
Filed under: uncultured bacterium
Lineage: Bacteria
Description: partial 16S ribosomal RNA
Rfam family: Bacterial small subunit ribosomal RNA
Source: RNAcentral
GAUGAACGCUGGCGGCGUGCCUAAUACAUGCAAGUCGAGCGAACGGACGAGAAGCUUGCUUCUCUGAUGUUAGCGGCGGACGGGUGAGUAACACGUGGAUAACCUACCUAUAAGACUGGGAUAACUUCGGGAAACCGGAGCUAAUACCGGAUGAUAUUUUGAACCGCAUGGUUCAAAAGUGAAAGACGGUCUUGCUGUCACUUAUAGAUGGAUCCGCGCUGCAUUAGCUAGUUGGUAAGGUAACGGCUUACCAAGGCAACGAUGCAUAGCCGACCUGAGAGGGGGGCCGCCCACCAGGGAAUGGGGCCCGGUGCCAAACCCCACGGGGGGGCAAGAGUGGGGAAUUUCCCGAAAUGGGCGAAAGCCUGACGGAGCAACGCCGGGGGAGUGAUGAAGGUUUUCGGAUCGUAAAACCUUUUUUUUAGGAAAAAAAAUAUGGGUAAGUAACUGUGCCCAUCUGGGCGGUACCUAAGCAAAAAGCCCCGGCUAACUACGG